GCGCGCGUAGCUUAGUUGGUAAAGCAGUGCACUUUUAAUGCAUUGAGCGGAGGUUCGAGUCCUCCCGCGCGUA
Molecule: transfer RNA, 73 nt
Filed under: Candidatus Brocadiales bacterium
Lineage: Bacteria; Pseudomonadati; Planctomycetota; Candidatus Brocadiia; Candidatus Brocadiales
Description: tRNA-Lys
Rfam family: tRNA
About the family: Transfer RNA (tRNA) molecules are approximately 80 nucleotides in length. Their secondary structure includes four short double-helical elements and three loops (D, anti-codon, and T loops). Further hydrogen bonds mediate the characteristic L-shaped molecular structure. tRNAs have two regions of fundamental functional importance: the anti-codon, which is responsible for specific mRNA codon recognition, and the 3' end, to which the tRNAs corresponding amino acid is attached (by aminoacyl-tRNA synthetases). tRNAs cope with the degeneracy of the genetic code in two manners: having more than one tRNA (with a specific anti-codon) for a particular amino acid; and 'wobble' base-pairing, i.e. permitting non-standard base-pairing at the 3rd anti-codon position.
Source: RNAcentral